Molecule: ribosomal RNA, 1395 nt
Filed under: Triticum aestivum (bread wheat)
Lineage: Eukaryota; Viridiplantae; Streptophyta; Magnoliopsida; Poales; Poaceae
Description: partial small subunit ribosomal RNA
Source: RNAcentral
AUGGAGUCGCUGCCGCGCAAGCUCAACAUCGACAGAGACGAGGACAGAAUCAGCGCGCUCCCUGACGAACUCCUCCUCGAAAUCAUUGAGCGCCUUGACCUGCCUGAGGCGGUCCGCACCGGCGCAGUCUCGGCGCGGUGGCAUCACCUCCCCUACCGGCUCUCCCGCCUGCACCUCGACGUUGGCCACUUCCAAGGCGCCACGCCGUCCGAGGUCAUGGACGCGUUCACGAGCGCUGCGCAGACGCUGUUGUCUGUGGUUCCUUUGGACGAGUGCGACUGCGAAAGUGACGCCCUCAAGACCCUCAUCCUCACCUUCUACGUGUCAUCUCCUCACCUGAGCUCCAUAGGCCGCACCAUCGAGGACCUUCUGAGCUACGGCGAUACCGAAUGCCUUGAGUUUUGCAUAUUCCCGCCGCCAUCCCUGCUGCUCGCCCCACUGCUUGCUGAGUUCGGGAAGCAGUUCAUGUCCUUCUCCCGUGCCUACCCGGUUGCCUUCCAGUGUCUCACGAGGCUUACACUCAAGAACCUUGUGUUUGGACAUUCCGAUGUCACCGACCUCAUUAGCGCUUGCAAUGAGCUCAAGCACCUCACCCUGAGUUCCUGCAGACUGGUUGAUGAGCAGUCGGCAUUCAAGAUUGAUACCCCGUGCUCAGGGCUUGAGAAGCUUGACUUCAUCCGUUUUCGUUGCGAACGGAUCGAACUCAUCUCCGUCCCCAAGCUCACGACAGUGGUGUGCCGUUCUUGGCGCUACGAGAACCCUCUGGUGCACUUCGGCGAUGUUCCCAAGCUUCGCCGAGUGAACCUCGGUUAUUAUGCCAAUGCAUGGCACGCGCCACUCAUGUUGAGCGACUGCCUUCCAAGGAGUUCCGGGAAUCUGUCGAAACUGAAACUCAAUUUUUUUUGCCAAACGAUUUGGGUUCAGCCGGAGCAGCCGAAGCAUCUGACUGCCAUAUUCAGAAACCUGGCCAAUGUCUAUCUUUCUGGUAUCUUCCCUGAGUGUGAUCUGAGCUGGACCCUGUUUAUCCUGCAAGCUGCACCUGCCCUGCAGAAUUUCAAAUUAUCCCGAACUAAACAUGCAUGCGUGAAAAAGCCUGACGAUGCUGCUAAGAAGACAAAUGUGGUCUGGGAGCCAUCGAAGGAUUUGAAGCAUCUGAACUUGAAGUUGCUCAUGAUGUUUGGGUUCGAGGAAGAGGUCAAGGUGACAAACUAUAUAAGGCUAGUCCUGGAACAUGCUGUGGGGUUGAAGAGAAUCGAGCUUCAUGGUGAGGACCCAUGCAAGGAGUGCAAUGCCAUUGACCCGGUGAGAUCCCAGGUGGAUGAAGCUAGCAUGCACCGGAUUAAGGAGCAACUCGUACUUGAAUCCUCCUCAGCCACGAAGAUAAUAAUUUGUUGA